RNAcentral lists this ribosomal RNA (525 nucleotides) under uncultured bacterium. Its description in RNAcentral is "bacterial SSU rRNA". It matches the Rfam family "Bacterial small subunit ribosomal RNA", at positions 524 to 1050 of the family's 1533-position model. The record is from RNAcentral.
GACGGAGGAGGCAAGCAUUGUCCGGAAUUAUUGGGCGUAAAGAACACGUAGGCGGUUUAUCAAGUCAUAAGUGAAAACCUUGGGCUUAACUUAAGGAUUGCAUAUGAUACUGGUAAGCUUGAGUACAGUAGAGGAAAGCGGAAUUCCUGGUGUAGCGGUGAAAUGCGCAGAUAUCAGGAAGAACACCAGUGGCGAAAGCGGCUUUCUGGACUGUUACUGACGCUGAGGUGUGAAAGCUAGGGUAGCGAACAGGAUUAGAUACCCUGGUAGUCCUAGCCGUAAACGAUGGACACUAGGUGUGGGGAGUUAUCGACGCUCUCUGUGCCGAAGCUAACGCAUUAAGUGUCCCGCCUGGGGAGUACGGUCGCAAGACUAAAACUCAAAGGAAUUGACGGGGGCCCGCACAAGCGGCGGAGCAUGUGGCUUAAUUCGACGCAACGCGAAGAACCUUACCAAGGCUUGACAUCGUAUUGACAAGUACAGAAAUGUACCUCCUUCGGGCAGUAUGACAGGUGGUGCAUGGCU